This is a long non-coding RNA of Osmia bicornis bicornis, 1442 nucleotides long. RefSeq lists it as uncharacterized. Lineage: Eukaryota; Metazoa; Arthropoda; Insecta; Hymenoptera; Megachilidae. The record is from RefSeq and is a predicted model, not a curated record. The transcript is spliced from 3 exons.
GAAUUUUUCUAGUCUCACAUAACAUUUCCAUUAUGUCUAUAAAAGCUCUCUGACUCUUUUUCAUUAUCUUGUGGAUCACUGCAUCUCUGUUGUGGAAGGUAAUAAUUAAGAAGUGCACAUCAUCAAUCAUCUCUUCAUGGUUUGUGAAAGACCACACUUCCUCUACACCUUGCUACCAAUACUUUACAAUGAAAAUUUGUUCUGGUUGUUUUCUACCUUCUACCCACCUGUUUACAAAUAUGUAACAACCCAACGAUAGGUACGUCACUGCACCGACGUAUAGGGACAGCGGUUCUAUAUAGCAACUAUAGUUGCCUAAGCAAUUCAGCGCAAGCUUUCCUCUACUUCCAGAGUGUUGUCUGUACUAAUAAACAUUCUACUUACUUCCAGGAACAGCAUCCAUUUUGCAGAAUUGAAAUUAAUAUAGUCUGUUUAAAAUUAUUCACGUCUCACUUUGCUCUUGCACAUUGCACUUCACUGCACGAAAACUGCGUGACGAAUGAACGCGGUAAUUGAACGCUCACCAUUUUUCAGGUGAUUCCUUUAGAUUUCUGGAAUUCCCCAUCACGUGACGGCCGAGUGCCCCUGCUCCUUAAUCUACGCGGCCUCUCUACUUUAGGUUCUCACCCCACCGCGAGAUCAUCGGGGUUGCGCUGGCGCACACGUGGUCGCUCGUCGAUAAUUUAUCGAUAUUCUGUUUUAUCGGCCUACUUACCGACUCUACGCUUAUCGACUCAUUUAAUAGACUGAGUUACCGAUAAAUGAAACAGGCCAUUUCAAGGAGCUCCGCCCCUCGCUAGCUCUUUAUACUUGGGUAUGGCUUAGUAGAAACACCUGAUCAACACGUUGCGUACCAUGAGUAGGGUGUCCACAGAUCCGAAGUCUCGUACGUCACCACUGGAAGAGAAGGAUAAAGCUACUCUCGCGCUCUAUAGUUGCCUAAGCAAUUCAGCGCAAGCUUUCCUCUACUUCCAGAGUGCUGUCUGUACUAAUAAACAUUCUACUUACUUCCAAGAACAGCAUCCAUUUUGCAGAAUUGAAAUUGAUAUGGUCUGUUUAAAAUUAUUCACAUUUCACUUUGCUCUUGCACAUUGCACUUCACUGCACGAAAACUGCGUGACGAAUGAACGCGGUAAUUGAACGCUCACCAUUUUUCAGGUGAUUCCUUUAGAUUUCUGGAAUUCCCCAUCACGUGACGGCCGAGUGCCCCUGCUCCUUAAUCUACGCGGCCUCUCUACUCUAGGUUCUCACCCCACCGCGAGAUCAUCGGGGUUGCGCUGGCGCACACGUGGUCGCUCGUCGAUAAUUUAUCGAUAUUCUGUUUUAUCGGCCUACUUACCGACUCUACGCUUAUCGACUCAUUUAAUAGACUGAGUUAUCGAUAAAUGAAACACGCCAUUUCAAGGAGCUCCGCUCCUUACUAGCUCUAUAUACUUGGGUAU